Molecule: transfer RNA, 75 nt
Filed under: Holosporales bacterium
Lineage: Bacteria; Pseudomonadati; Pseudomonadota; Alphaproteobacteria; Holosporales
Description: tRNA-Glu
Rfam family: tRNA
About the family: Transfer RNA (tRNA) molecules are approximately 80 nucleotides in length. Their secondary structure includes four short double-helical elements and three loops (D, anti-codon, and T loops).
Source: RNAcentral
GUCUCCUUCGUCUAGCGGUCAGGACAUCGCCCUCUCACGGCGGUAACAUGGGUUCAAGUCCCGUAGGAGACGCCA